UAGAACAAUGUAGGUAGGGAAGUCGGCAAAAUAGAUCCGUAACUUCGGGAAAAGGAUUGGCUCUAAGGGUUGGGUCUGUCGGGCUGAGACUUGAAGCCAGUGGACCCGGCCCGGACUGGCCGAGGCCCUCCAGGGGGUCGAAGCUGGACCGGGAAGGGGCUGUUGGUGGAUUGGCUCAGCUAUGGUCGCGAGGCCAAUUCGGCAGGCAAUGAACAACCAACUUAGAACUGGCAGUGACUAGGGGAAUCCGACUGUUUAAUUAAAACAAAGCAUUACGAUGGCCGGAAACGGUGUUGACGCAAUGUGAUUUCUGCCCAGUGCUCUGAAUGUCAAAGUGAAGAAAUUCAACCAAGCGCGGGUAAACGGCGGGAGUAACUAUGACUCUCUCAUUGAUAGAGAAUUCUUGGAUUUUAUCCAUUCCUAUUCGAGGGAAAAGCCGCCACAAAGAGGUCUCGCUAAGUCCAAACCACCACCCAAAGGACCAAAGAGCCUCAGACGCCAGCAAUAUCGGCAACUCCAGAGAUUGUGGGACAAAAACCGAUCCGCAGCAGCCGAACAGGCCCUAACAGGUAAAUGGCAAGAAGUUCGGACUGCUGCUGGGGUCCCAUUAUCGUUGAUGGAGGUCCCGUGGCGGGAGAUUUUCGAAACACCAUCUACGACGGACGUCCGAGAGCCGGCCCCAGCUGGGCCGGUUCUGUGGCAGCUUCUCAGACCAGUGACUAUCGCAGAAGUAGAGGACGCAAUUUCCUCCAAGAAAUCAGCUAGCGGUCCAGAUGGAGUGCCUUGUGCCGCCCUUCGAACCAUGGGCGCCGCCUCCCUAGCAGCUCACUUUAACUUGUGGCUGUUGGCCGGUACUCAGCCCAAACGCCUAACAGAAUGCCGAACAAUAUUUGUGCCUAAGGAGGUAAAUACUCACCUGCCCCUCCAUCAUAGGCCAAUCACUAUCGGCUCGGUGGUUGUAAGACUCUUCCACCAGAUUCUGGGAAAGCGAAUGGAAUCAGUACUGCCAUUGGGGUCGGGCCAGCGCGGUUUUCGAAAGGGUGACGGAAUAUGCCAGAACAUCUGGCUCCUCCGUACUCUAAUCAGACGCAGCACUGAUUUGCUGAGGCCACUCAAGCUGGUCUUCUUGGAUGUGAAAAAGGCCUUCGAUUCGGUUAGUCACGAAUCCCUUUUAAUUGCGGCGAAGCGUCUCGGAGUGCCCGGGCCGCUCCUAACGUACAUCAAUGAACUGUAUUCUCGUUCGGAGACAGUCUUUGAAGUUGGGGGCGAGAGCAGUGGCUCUGUUAAGGUAUCCCAAGGGGUAAAGCAAAGGGAUCCAUUGAGUUCGACUCUCUUCAACUGCGUCAUUGACUGGGCGGUCUCAGAUCUCGACCCCCACAUAGGCGUCUUACUAGGGGAGUCUCGAGUCUCCUUUCUAGCUUACGCUGAUGACCUGGUUCUCCUAUCGGAGACCGAGGCUGGACUGACAAGCCAGCUGAACUUAAUUGAAAAGAGUCUAGCGCACUGUGGUCUCAAGCUCAGUACGGGGGACGGUGGUAAAUCUGCUUCGCUGAACAUCGUGAUUGAUGGUAAAGCUAAGCGGUGGGUUGUAAACCCUACCCCGUUCCUACGUGCGUCUGGUGGCGAAAUUCGAUCUCUCGUCGCAAAUGAGACGUACAAGUACUUGGGCAUUAACAUCGGAGCCCAGGGCGUGAAAGCUGCUGAAUGUAUUCAAUGUAUUCAAAGAAGCACUCGAUAACUUGUCUCGAGCUCCACUUAAGCCGCAGCAGAGGUUAUUCCUGCUGAAGACCUAUCUGUUGCCGCAACUACACCACUCACUGGUAUUGUCAAGGACAACUGGCAAACUAUUGAACAGCCUCGAUGCUCUCGUAAGAAAAGCUGUACGGGGAUGGCUUAAAUUGCCACACGACACUCAUAGGGCCUUCUUUUAUGCUCACCAGGCCGACGGGGGACUCAAUGUCCCAAGUCUGUACCAUCUAAUACCUCUCCUAAGGAGGAGUAGGUAUGAACGCUUGACGAGGGUCGAAGACCCUGAGAUAAGGGAAGUGUCCCGAACCGACUACUUCAAAAGAGUCUUGGGUGCCGCGGCGGCGGCCACCACGGUUGCAGGGCAUCGAAUUGAUUCCAAAGUAACGUUGCGCCUAGCUUGGCGCGAGGCCCUUUACGCUUCAGCUGACGGGCGGGGUCUCUCCCAAUGCCCGUUGGUACCCGAGGUUCACUCCUGGGUUACCGAUGUUUCCGGUCUUCAGACCGGAUCGCAGUACAUCUCUGCUGUUCGCUUAAGGGGGGCCUUGCUUCCCACGGCGGUAAGGAAAUCGAGGGGUCGCGGGGGUGUUAACUCGAAUUGCGACUGUUGCGGUCGUGGACAACCAGAGUUUCUUGGGCACGUUCUCCAGACGUGUCCUCGGACCUGGGGGUCUCGCAUCAGUCGUCACAACCACGUCCUCUCCCUUAUCGCUAAAGCGUGCCGUUCGCGAAGAUGGCAGGUGCUGGAAGAGCCGAUCAUCCAGACUCCUGCGCAGUUGCUCAAGCCAGACUUGGUGAUCUGGAACCAUCAAGCGGCGUACGUCGUUGACGUUAGCGUACCGGGUGAUAACACCCCGCUCAGUACGUGUCACAACAGGAAAGUCGCAUAUUACUCUGGUGAGAGCGUUCGUGAAUGGGUGCGUUCCAAGACUGGGCAUAAUCCUACAGUGUCCUCUGUAGUGAUUAACUGGCGCGGUGCCAUGGCAAAGGAGUCCUACCGCCUUUUGACGAAAGACCUUCGUCUAGCGAAGACCCUGCCUCGUCUGCUGGUACUAAGAGUUCUGGAAGGCGGCCAUGGAAUCUGGCUCAAUUUCCAUCGGUCGACCUUCGCCGUGGGAGUAACUUGAUGGUGGGUUACUCGCCUCUGUGUAACAGGCAAAUGAAAGCUGCGCAAGCAGUCGAUGAGCCAAAGCCGCACAGCCCCCGACUGGGGUACAGGGCAGCCCUGGGCUAUGCCCGAAGUCUUUUGACAGGUCCAAACUUCACCCUUGCCGCCAGUAGGGCACCAGGGCCAGGUGCAGGUGGGCGCUUUGUUCUAUUUGGUUUCGCUUAAUUUUUGUUAAAUUUUUCCCGUGCGCCCACCCUUUUUAACCUUUUAACACCAAUUUUUAAAACCCUCUACUCAAUAAUCCAAAUGAUUAAAAGCGGCAUAACAGGUGAACACAAGGUAGCCAAAUGCCUCGUCAUCUAAUUAGUGACGCGCAUGAAUGGAUUAACGAGAUUCCCACUGUCCCUAUCUACUAUCUAGCGAAACCACAGCCAAGGGAACGGGCUUGG
Molecule: non-coding RNA, 3303 nt
Organism: Nematostella vectensis (starlet sea anemone)
Lineage: Eukaryota; Metazoa; Cnidaria; Anthozoa; Actiniaria; Edwardsiidae
Source: Rfam